AGUGGGGGAUAACGUAGCGAAAGUUACGCUAAUACCGCAUAUGCCCUGAGGGGGAAAGGAGGGGAUCGUAAGACCCUUCGCUUUCGGAGUGGCCGAUAUCAGAUUAGCUAGUUGGUGGGGUAAAGGCCUACCAAGGCGACGAUCUGUAGCGGGUCUGAGAGGAUGAUCCGCCACACUGGGACUGAGACGCGGCCCAGACUCCUACGGGAGGCAGCAGUGGGGAAUUUUGGACAAUGGGGGCAACCCUGAUCCAGCCAUGCCGCGUGAGUGAAGAAGGCCUUCGGGUUGUAAAGCUCUUUCGGACGGAAAGAAAUCCUAUUCGCUAAUACCGGGUGGGGAUGACGGUACCGUAAGAAGAAGCACCGGCUAACUACGUGCCAGCAGCCGCGGUAAUACGUAGGGUGCGAGCGUUAAUCGGAAUUACUGGGCGUAAAGCGUGCGCAGGCGGUUUUGUAAGACAGAUGUGAAAUCCCCGGGCUUAACCUGGGAACUGCAUUUGUGACUGCAAGGCUAGAGUGCGGCAGAGGGGGGUAGAAUUCCA
RNAcentral lists this ribosomal RNA (541 nucleotides) under uncultured Gallionellaceae bacterium. RNAcentral's name for it is "bacterial SSU rRNA". It matches the Rfam family "Bacterial small subunit ribosomal RNA", at positions 135 to 671 of the family's 1533-position model. Lineage: Bacteria; Pseudomonadati; Pseudomonadota; Betaproteobacteria; Nitrosomonadales; Gallionellaceae. The record is from RNAcentral.